GAUGAACGCUGGCGGCGUGCCUAAUACAUGCAAGUCGAGCGAACGGACGAGAAGCUUGCUUCUCUGAUGUUAGCGGCGGACGGGUGAGUAACACGUGGAUAACCUACCUAUAAGACUGGGAUAACUUCGGGAAACCGGAGCUAAUACCGGAUAAUAUUUUGAACCGCAUGGUUCAAAAGUGAAAGACGGUCUUGCUGUCACUUAUAGAUGGAUCCGCGCUGCAUUAGCUAGUUGGUAAGGUAACGGCUUACCAAGGCAACGAUGCAUAGCCGACCUGAGAGGGUAACCGCCCCAACUAGAACGGGAACACGGACCAGACUCCAAGAGGGGGCGAGGAUGGGAAUACUUCCGCGCGGGGAGAAAGCCUGACGGAGCACCGGCGGGUGGGAAUGAGAGGUCUUCGGACUGAAAAACUGUUUUUUGGGGUAAAAACAUUUGUGUAAGUAAAUGACCGAAUCGUGACGGUACCUAAUAAGAAAACCGCGGCUAACUACGU
RNAcentral lists this ribosomal RNA (496 nucleotides) under uncultured bacterium. RNAcentral describes it as "partial 16S ribosomal RNA". It matches the Rfam family "Bacterial small subunit ribosomal RNA", at positions 28 to 506 of the family's 1533-position model. The record is from RNAcentral.